RNAcentral lists this ribosomal RNA (480 nucleotides) under uncultured bacterium. Its description in RNAcentral is "bacterial SSU rRNA". It matches the Rfam family "Bacterial small subunit ribosomal RNA", at positions 28 to 509 of the family's 1533-position model. The record is from RNAcentral.
GACGAACGCUGGCGGCGUGCUUAAUACAUGCAAGUCAACUGAACUUAAGGUAGUAAUACUUUAAGGGAGGUGGCGCACGGGUGAGUAACACGUAGGUAAUCUGCCUUUAGGUCUGACAUAAUUCCGCGAAAGCGGGACUAAAAUCAGAUGAUGCAGCGGCUCGACAUCGAGACAGUUGUUAAACCUUCGGGGCCUAGAGAUGAGCCUGCGUCUGAUUAGGUAGUUGGCGGAGUAAAAGCCCACCAAGCCUGCGAUCAGUAGCUGGUCUGAGAGGAUGAUCAGCCACACUGAAACUGAGACACGGUCCAGACUCCUACGGGAGGCAGCAGUAAGGAAUAUUGCUCAAUGGCCGAAAGGCUGAAGCAGCAACGCCGCGUGGAGGAUGAAAUACUUUUGUAUGUAAACUCCUGUAAGGGGGAAAUAUACAGUUAAUACUGUAUUGAUUGUACCCUCAGAGUAAGCACCGGCUAACUACGUGCC